Molecule: ribosomal RNA, 913 nt
Filed under: uncultured fungus
Lineage: Eukaryota; Fungi
Description: bacterial SSU rRNA
Rfam family: Eukaryotic small subunit ribosomal RNA
Source: RNAcentral
GUCGUAAGUGCGAUUGAUUUAGCGGCCGCCGUUCGAUCUUGUGCCAGCCGCCGCGAUGAUUCCAGCUCCAAUAGCGUAUAUUAAAGUUGUUGCGGUUAAAAAGCUCGCAGGUGAACCUUGGACCUGGUUGGCCGGUCCGUUUCACCGCGUGCACCGUCCCGGCCGGGCCUUUCCCUCUGUGGAACCCCAUACCCUUCACUGGGCGUGCUGUCCAAACAGGACAUUUACUUUGAAAAAAUUAGAGUGCUCCAGGAAGGCCUAUGCCCAAAUACUUUAUCAUGGAAUAAUAAAAUAAGACGCGCGCUUCCAUUUUGUUGCUUUAUUUUACCGACGAAAUGAUUAGUAUCGACAGUCCGCGGCAUCAGGAUUCAACUGUUCGAGGUGAAAUUCUUGGAUCAGUUGAAGACUAACUACUGCGAAAGCAUUUGCCAAGGAUGUUUUCAUUAAUCAGGAACGAAAGUUAGGGGAUCGAAGACGAUCAGAUACCGUCGUAGUCUUAACCAUAAACUAUGCCGACUAGGGAUCGGACGGGGUUAUUCACGACCCGUUCGGCACCUUACGAGAAAUCAAAGUGCUUGGGCUUCUCUGAGAAGAAAAAAAAAAGGCUGAAACUUAAAGGAAUUGACGGGAGGGCACCACCCAGGGGGUGGAGCCUGCUGGCUUUUAUUUUGACUCAACAACGGGGGAAACUCCACCCAGCGUCCCACGACACCAAUGAGGAAUUGACAGAAUUGAGGAGCUCUUUUCUUUGAUUUUUUGUUGGGUUGGUGGUGGCAUGGCCACGUUCUUAAGUGGUGGGGGGUGACUUGGUCUUGCCUUAAUUAGCGAAUAACGAAGAGAACAUUAAUCCUGCUAAAAUAUGCCCCGCAAUUGCCUCCGGGCCAGGUGCGGGCUGGGCUUUCUUAAAGGGGGA